RNAcentral lists this ribosomal RNA (253 nucleotides) under uncultured bacterium. RNAcentral describes it as "partial 16S ribosomal RNA". It matches the Rfam family "Bacterial small subunit ribosomal RNA", at positions 524 to 776 of the family's 1533-position model. The record is from RNAcentral.
UACGUAGGGUGCAAGCGUUCUCCGGAAUUAUUGGGCGUAAAGAGCUCGUAGGCGGUUUGUCGCGUCUGCUGUGAAAACUGGAGGCUCAACCUCCAGCCUGCAGUGGGUACGGGCAAACUAGAGUGCGGUAGGGGAGAUUGGAAUUCCUGGUGUAGCGGUGGAAUGCGCAGAUAUCAGGAGGAACACCGAUGGCGAAGGCAGAUCUCUGGGCCGUAACUGACGCUGAGGAGCGAAAGCAUGGGGAGCGAACAGG